GCUUGAAUCUUCUUUCUAGAAUGUCAGUUUAAACACCCUUUUACUUUGACUCCACUCCAAGGUAAUUGCCCCAAUUCAAACCCUAAAAAGGGCCCACGACGAGAAGUUUCCAACCCCUCUGGCGACUUCUGCAGAUUUUCUCUGCUUUAUUCCUCUUUCUUUGUUAAGGGAAACACUUAUUAUUAAGAAUUCAUCUACACACGAACAUAUAUACAUAUGCUACGCUUUUGAUUUCCACCAAAAACUUUUAUUUAAAUUAUAUUUCAACCAAUAACAUAUAAACACGUGAUUUCGUGCAGGGCUCGUUUUUAAUUGUUAAUUUCUUUGUUGCUAGACUUCUGAAUCUGUCUUAAAUCAUAAUCCUAUUGUGUUUUUUUUUUUUUUGUAUACAAGUGCAUUUUACUUUUUUUUUUACCCCUGACCCUGAUCCAAGCUUUUAGUUACCAUGUGAUGCCAUUAUCAGUGAGAUUUCUCCAUUAGUUAAACAGGACUUGCAGUCCACCUUUAUAGCCUUCCAAAGGCACAAUAUAUACCUGUCCGCAAGGAUGGGGACUUUACAUUCUCCAACAAAUCAUCGGAAUCAAAGUCUCAAUCAACACCAAAGAUGCCCACUUUAUCCAUAUUUAUUGUAAUUUGCGUUAGUGGUGGUGCAAAUCAGCAUCAGUUGGACAUUAUAAGACAAAUGUCGGCAUUAAUAAACCUGUAUUAUUGACAAUCAGCUAUAAGGUUUGAUCUAACAUUUUAAAUCGCUGCCAAUUUGUAGGAUGUUCCACAAAAUAGUCCCCCAGCUGAUACUGACAAUUCAGUGCCUAAGGGAGCUCAAGGGGAAGCUAAUAUUGAAUCCAAUGGUGGCAAGGGUGCAAUGGUAAAGGUAAGCCAUUGAUAAGCUGAAAGAUUCUAAAAGGUCUGAUGAUGAGCCCAAAGGCAUGGCUACAGAAGGAGAGGCAAGAGAUGAACCCAUACCGAAGUCCAAGUCUGACCGUAAAACAGAGGCCAUUGGGGAGACACGCAGGGACCGGGACAGGGAAAUAGAACGGGAUAGGGAUUGAGAAAGAGAUAGAGAUCGGGACAGGGACAGAACAAAAUCCAGAGAUAGAGAUCGAAGAAGGGAUUCUGACAAAGCGUGAACGAGAGGAAGCUGAGAGGGACAAACUCAAGGAUCGUGGUCACCGUUCUAGGGAGAGAGCAAAGGAUUCAGGUGUGUUUGUGGUACUGGAUGCAGGACAUUCUGAGAAAGUCAAAACGCCAUUCCUCGCAUGAUCGGGAUUCCCAUGUUUCCUCUUACUCGUCAAGGGAGAAGGAUCGACAUUGACAUUAUUUAGAAGAGAUAUUACAAGAUGCACCCGUUUCGGUGUCCAUGACACCUGUCAAAGUCGGUCAACUGAUCAAGCAUUGCACGUCCUUUGAUCUUAUAAUCAGUAACUGCUGCCUGUCAGGGGAAGUUUUUACAGAUAUAAACAAUUUAGGGCUCAUUUGGGGUCUUAUUUAACAAGUACUUAUGUAUACCUUUUUUUGUUUAUAGUCGAAGAGAGAAUAGAGUUAAAAUUAUUUUUAUAGUA
Molecule: long non-coding RNA, 1559 nt
Organism: Glycine soja
Lineage: Eukaryota; Viridiplantae; Streptophyta; Magnoliopsida; Fabales; Fabaceae
Exons: 2
Source: RefSeq, a predicted model, not a curated record